UGGGGAAUAUUGGACAAUGGGCGAAAGCCUGAUCCAGCCAUGCCGCGUGAGUGACGAAGGCCUUAGGGUUGUAAAACUCUUUCGUCGGGGACGAUAAUGACGGUACCCGAAGAAGAAGCUCCGGCUAACUUCGUGCCAGCAGCCGCGGUAAUACGAAGGGAGCUAGCGUUGUUCGGAAUCACUGGGCGUAAAGCGCACGUAGGCGGAUAGUUAAGUCAGGGGUGAAAUCCUGGGGCUCAACCCCAGAACUGCCUUUGAUACUGGCUGUCUCGAGGUCGAGAGAGGUUGGUGGAAUUCCUAGUGUAGAGGUGAAAUUCGUAGAUAUUAGGAAGAACACCAGUGGCGAAGGCGGCCAACUGGCUCGAUACUGACGCUGAGGUGCGAAAGCGUGGGGAGCAAACAGGAUUAGAUACCCAGGUAGUCCCUGAGCGGGCUGGCAAGGCGCAU
Molecule: ribosomal RNA, 447 nt
Filed under: uncultured bacterium
Lineage: Bacteria
Description: bacterial SSU rRNA
Rfam family: Bacterial small subunit ribosomal RNA
Source: RNAcentral